RNAcentral lists this ribosomal RNA (513 nucleotides) under uncultured bacterium. Its description in RNAcentral is "partial 16S ribosomal RNA". It matches the Rfam family "Bacterial small subunit ribosomal RNA", at positions 29 to 523 of the family's 1533-position model. The record is from RNAcentral.
AGCGAACGUUAGCGGCGGGCCUAACACAUGCAAGUCGAGCGAGAAAGUGGCUUCGGCCACGAGUAAAGCGGCGGACGGGUGAGUAACACGUAGGUAAUCUUCCCUUGAGCGGGGGACAACGAGCCGAAAGGCUCGCUAAUACCGCAUACGUUUCCAGAGGCCCCGGUCUCUGGAAGGAAAGCUAGGCCGCAAGGUCUGGCACUCGAGGAGGAGCCGGCGUCGCAUCAGCUAGUUGGUGGGGUAACGGCCUACCAAGGCGAAGACGCGUAGCUGGUCUGAGAGGAUGAUCAGCCACACUGGGACUGAGACACGGCCCAGACUCCUACGGGAGGCAGCAGUGGGGAAUAUUGGACAAUGGGCGCAAGCCUGAUCCAGCCACGCCGCGUGAGUGAUGAAGGCCUUCGGGUCGUAAGGCUCUGUGGGGAGGGACGAACCGCUGCACGUUCAUAGCGUGCAGCAUGACGGUACCUCCUUAGCAAGCACCGGCUAACUUCGUGCCAGCCGCCGCAGUAA